RNAcentral lists this unclassified non-coding RNA (936 nucleotides) under Hevea brasiliensis (rubber tree). The record is from RNAcentral. Lineage: Eukaryota; Viridiplantae; Streptophyta; Magnoliopsida; Malpighiales; Euphorbiaceae.
UCAAAAAAAUUCACAAAAAAAAAAGAAGUUUCAUUUCACCUAGUGUUUAUAUUACUACAUCAAACUAUGAUGUCAAGUGAGAAAAUAAGAGAAGUAGGAGAAGGAUCAUCAUCAAGUGGUGGUGCUAUUAGUAUUAUAGCAACCCCUCUUAACAAUCAUCAUCGUCAGUCAUCAUCAUCAUCGUUAUCAACACUAGCACCAACACCAGCAUCAUCAUCAGCACCGCAGUUAAGUCGAUACGAGUCGCAGAAACGUCGCGACUGGAACACGUUCGGCCAGUACUUAAAAAAUCAACGACCGCCUAUAUCGUUACCUCAGUGUAACUACAAUCACGUGUUAGAUUUUCUCCGAUACCUCGAUCAAUUCGGAAAGACUAAGGUUCACUUACAUGGUUGCCUAUUUUUCGGGCAACCCGAACCGCCUGGUCCGUGCACGUGUCCAUUAAGACAAGCAUGGGGAAGCCUAGAUGCCCUAAUUGGUAGACUUAGGGCAGCCUAUGAAGAAAAUGGUGGUUUGCAAGAAACUAACCCUUUUGCAAGUGGCGCUAUACGUGUCUAUUUAAGAGAAGUGAGAGAUUCACAAGCAAAAGCAAGAGGAAUUCCAUAUAAGAAAAAAAAGAAGAAAAAGAGGCCAAAUUUGCAAAUUAAGGCUAGUAACAACAAUGAUGGGGCUACUUCUGCAAAUUUUCAGCUACAAUCUACUACUUGAUUGCUAUGGAAUAAAGAUUGGAAUAUCAAUUUCAUCGAGAUCGACGAUAAAAGAGAAAGGGUAAAAUUUUGAGUUUUUAAUUAUAAUUAAUAAAAGUAUUUGUUUUGUUAUGUGUUAAUUAAUUAAUAUAGUACUUACUAUACAUAUAAUUAAAUACUUUUGAAUUAUGGUGUUUUAAUUUUUCUAUGAUGCUUGAAUUAUUGGAAUAUUGUUGUUGUAGAUAUUGCG